This 2269-nucleotide long non-coding RNA is filed under the name Salmo salar (Atlantic salmon). Its description in RNAcentral is "lncRNA (ENSSSAG00000106335.1)". Lineage: Eukaryota; Metazoa; Chordata; Actinopteri; Salmoniformes; Salmonidae. The record is from RNAcentral.
GGAUUGUGUCGAGGCACAAUGUCUGCAGCAUUGAAGGUCCCCAAGAACACAGUGGUCUCCAUCAUUCUUAAAUGGAAGAAGAUUGGAAGCACCAAGACUCUGAUGUGGUUGUUAGACCCAACAGCACCAGGAAGAGUGUUAUGGCUGUGAAAAUGGAAAUGGCUGUGCAGCGAGCUUGAGAGGAUCUGCAGAGAAGAAUUGGAGAACUCCCCAAAUAUAUUUGUGCCAAGCUUGUAGCGUCAUACCCAAUAAGACUCAAAGCUGUAAUCGCUGCCAAAGGUGCUUCAACAAAGUAAUGAGCAAAGGGCCUGAAUAUUUAUGUAAAGACAAUAUUUCAGUUUAUAUAUAUAUAUAUACACACACUACCGAAAGAACACAGACACUGGACAGAGGAACUCUGAACUCAAAGCACUCACCUCUGCCAUCAUGAAGUGCUUUGAGAGACUAGUCAAGGAUCAUAUCACCUUACCUGCCACCCUAGACCCACUUCAAUUUGCUUACCGCCCCAAUAGAGCCACAGACGAUGCAAUCGUCAUCACUCUGCACACUGCCCUAUCCCAUCUGGACAAGAGGAAUACCUAUGUAAGAAUGUUGUUUAUUCAACACCAUAGUACCCGCCAAGCUCUUCAUUAAGCUUGAGGCCCUGGGUCUGAACCUCGCCCUGUGCAACUGGGUCCUGGACUUCCUGACGGGCCGCCCCCAGGUGGUGACGGUAGGAAACAUCAGCUCCACUCCGCUGAUCCUCAACACUGGGGCCCCACAAGGCUGCGUGCUCAGCCCUCUCCUGUACUCCCUGUUCACCCAUGACUGCAUGGCCACACACGCCUCCAACUCAAUCAAGUUUGCAGACGACACAACCAUAGUAGGCCUGAUUACCAAAAAUGAUGCGACAGCCUACAGGGAGGAGGUGAGGGCUCUGAGAGUGUGGUGCCUGGAAAACAAACUCUCACGCAACGUCAACAAAACAAAGGAGAUGAUCGUGGACUUCAGGAAACAGCAGAGGGAGCACCCCCCAUCCACAUUGAAGGGACAGCAGUGGAGAAGGUGGAAAGCUUCAAGUUCCUUGGCGUACACAUCAAUGAAAUGUCAAUGAUGUGGAGUGAAGACUCCAGGCGCAACAGCGCCUCUUCAACCUCAGGAGCCUGAAGAAAUUAGGCUUGUCACCGAAAACCCUCACAAACCUUUACAGAUGCACAAUUGAAAACAGGACACCUACAGCACCCGAUGUCACAAGAAGGCCAAAAAGAUCAUCAAUGACAUCAACCACCCGAGCCACUGCCUGUUCACCCCGCUACCAUCCAGAAGGCGAAGUCAGUACAGGUGCAUCAAAGCUGGAACCGAGAGACUGAAAAACAACUUCUAUCUCAAGGCCAUCAGACUGUUAAGUGGGUGUGGUUAUAUCCUGCCUAUUUGGCCCUGUCCGGGGGUUUCAUCGGAUGGGGCCACAGUGUCUCCUGACCCCUGCUGUCUCAGCUUCCAGUAUUUAUGCUGCAUUAGUUUAUGUGUCGGGGGGCUAGGGUCAGUCUGUUAUAUCUGGAGUAUUUCUCCUGUCUUCUCCUGUGUCCUGUGUGAAUUUUAAUAUGCUCUCUCUAAUUCUAUCUUUCUUUCUCUCUUUCUUUCUUUCUUUCUCUCUCGGAGGACCUGAGCCCUAGGACCAUGCCUCAGGACUACCUGGCCUGAUGACUCCUUGCUGUCCCCAGUCCACCUGGCCGUGCUGCUGCUCCAGGUUCAACUGUUCUGCCUGCGGCUAUGGAACCCUGACCUGUUCACCGGACGUGCUACCUGUCCCAGACCUGCUGUUUUCAACUCUCUAGAGACAGCAGGAGCGGUAGAGAUACUCUCAAUGAUCGGCUAUGAAAAGCCAACUGACAUUUACUCCUGAGGUGCUGACCUGUUGCACCCUUGACAACCACUGUGAUUAUUAUUAUUUGACCCUGCUGGUCAUCUAUGAACAUUUGAACAUCUUGGCCAUGUUCUGUUAUAAUAUCCACCCUGCACAGCCAGAAGAGGACUGGCCACCCCUCAUAGCCUGGUUCCUCUCUAGGUUUCUUCCUAUGUUCUGGCCUUUCUAGGGAGUUUUUCCUAGCCACCGUGCUUCUACAGCUGCAUUGCUUGCUGUUUGGGGUUUUAGGCUGGGUUUCUGUACAGCACUUUGUGACAUCAGCUGAUGUAAGAAGGGCUUUAUAAAUAAAUUUGAUUUGAUUGCUAAACAGCCAUCACUAGCACAUUAAAGGCUGCUGCCUAUAGGCAUAGACAAGAAAUCACUGGC